RNAcentral lists this ribosomal RNA (492 nucleotides) under uncultured bacterium. RNAcentral describes it as "partial 16S ribosomal RNA". It matches the Rfam family "Bacterial small subunit ribosomal RNA", at positions 29 to 507 of the family's 1533-position model. The record is from RNAcentral.
AUUGAACGCUGGCGGCAUGCUUUACACAUGCAAGUCGAACGGUAACAGGCCUUCGGGUGCUGACGAGUGGCGAACGGGUGAGUAAUGCAUCGGAACGUGCCCAGAGGUGGGGGAUAACGCAGCGAAAGCUGUGCUAAUACCGCAUGUGAUCUGAGGAUGAAAGCGGGGGACCAGGCAGCAAUGUUUGGCCUCGCGCCUUUGGAGCGGCCGAUGUCAGAUUAGGUAGUUGGUGGGGUAAAGGCCUACCAAGCCGACGAUCUGUAGCUGGUCUGAGAGGACGACCAGCCACACUGGGACUGAGACACGGCCCAGACUCCUACGGGAGGCAGCAGUGGGGAAUUUUGGACAAAGGGCGCAAGCCUGAUCCAGCAAUGCCGCGUGCGGGAAGAAGGCCUUCGGGUUGUAAACCGCCUUUGUACGGAACGAAAAGGCUCUGGCUAAUACCUGGGGCUGAUGACGGUACCGUAAGAAUAAGCACCGGCUAACUACGUG